Molecule: ribosomal RNA, 415 nt
Filed under: uncultured crenarchaeote
Lineage: Archaea; Thermoproteati; Thermoproteota
Description: partial 16S ribosomal RNA
Rfam family: Archaeal small subunit ribosomal RNA
Source: RNAcentral
GUGCAGCAGUCGCGCAACCUCUGCAAUACGCGAAAGCGUGACAGGGCUACCCCGAGUGCCGUCCGCUGAGGAUGGCUUUUCUCCGGUGUAGUAAGCCGGAGGAAUAAGGAGAGGGCAAGUCUGGUGUCAGCCGCCGCGGUAAUACCAGCUCUCCGAGUGGUAGGGACGAUUAUUGGGCUUAAAGCGUCCGUAGCCGGCUCAGCAAGUCUCCCGUUAAAUCCAACGAUUCAAUCGUUGGACUGCGGGAGAUACUGUUGAGCUAGGAGGCGGGAGAGGCCGACGGUAUUCCCGGAGUAGGGGUGAAAUCUUAUAAUUCCGGGAGGACCACCAGUGGCGAAGGCUGUCGGCUAGAACGCGCUCGACGGUGAGGGACGAAAGCUGGGGGAGCGAACCGGAUUAGAUACCCGGGUAGUCC